This is a long non-coding RNA of Fukomys damarensis (Damara mole-rat), 685 nucleotides long. RefSeq lists it as uncharacterized. The transcript has 3 exons. The record is from RefSeq and is a predicted model, not a curated record. Lineage: Eukaryota; Metazoa; Chordata; Mammalia; Rodentia; Bathyergidae.
ACCCCGGAAGAGGGGGCGGCCGGGAGAUCGGGAGGCAGGCGACGGUGUUACGGUGGGAGUCAGGCCUUGCAGCGGGAUCUGUUGGCAAUGUUGAUGUUCCUAAGUCCAGAUUCCGCUCCCCUCCCUCUCAGCAUCCCCAGCAGCAGGGAGUGGCUCUCGAUUGCUGCCCAGGCCGAGAUGUCGCGGUCCCGGGCAGGGGCGGGGCGGGCCAAUGAUAGAUCUCUGGGAAUCGUGGGGUCCCAGGGAGAAUUCUGAGAAGUGGGGUUUUGUUUUGUUUUUUUAAUUUUAAUUUUUUGUGCUGCGGAUUGAUGGCAGUAGCUUCAAACUCAGGCGGCUCCCUGCAUCGGCACCCAGCGGUCUUGCUGUCGGCUCUGCCCUGCAGCCUCACAUCCUCCUGAGCUUGGCGAGGGGCCCAGUGGCCAAAGGAAGGGACCGCGGGGCGGAGGGCCUGUGCCGCAUCCAUCCACGUGAAUCAAACAGGAAAUGGCUCGUACCAGGCCAGUUCUCUGCCUCACAGCUACACCCUGUGUGUCUGGCUCUUGUCUCACGAAACUGGUUAGAGCAAACCGACUUUAUAGAGGGGAAGCUGCCGUAAGCAAAGCCUGAGAUAUUUCUGCACGUGUCACCCACCACCUGUGAUCCCAGCACCCGCCAGGCUGAGGCAAGAGGGUCGCCAGGAGGUCAA